CUACGGGCUGCAGCAGUGGGGAAUUUUGCACAAUGGGGGAAACCCUGAUGCAGCGACGCCGCGUGCGGGAAGAAGGCCUUAGGGUUGUAAACCGCUUUCAAUUGUGAAGAAGGGAUGAGAGUUAAUAGCUUUCUGACUUGACGGUAGCAUUAGAGGAAGCACCGGCUAAUUUCGUGCCAGCAGCCGCGGUAAUACGAAAGGUGCAAGCGUUGUUCGGAUUUACUGGGCGUAAAGAGAUCGUAGGUGGUUUAUUAAGUCGGAUAUGAAAUCCCGGAGCUCAACUUCGGAACUGCAUUCGAUACUGGUAGGCUAGAGUUCGGGAGGGGAAAGCGGAAUUCCGUGUGUAGCAGUGAAAUGCGUAGAUAUACGGAGGAACACCUGAGGCGAAGGCGGCUUUCUGGACCGAUACUGACACUGAGGAUCGAAAGCGUGGGUAGCAAACAGGAUUAGAUACCCGCGUAGUC
RNAcentral lists this ribosomal RNA (464 nucleotides) under uncultured bacterium. RNAcentral's name for it is "partial 16S ribosomal RNA". It matches the Rfam family "Bacterial small subunit ribosomal RNA", at positions 339 to 795 of the family's 1533-position model. The record is from RNAcentral.